Molecule: long non-coding RNA, 1341 nt
Filed under: Gossypium raimondii (Peruvian cotton)
Lineage: Eukaryota; Viridiplantae; Streptophyta; Magnoliopsida; Malvales; Malvaceae
Description: long non-coding RNA (GRAI_LNC002610)
Source: RNAcentral
AGCAAACAAGAAGUAUGGUUUCUCGCUUCUGACUAUAGAGUAAUUGUUUAUAUGUCUAAACCUAUCAGUGAUAGAUGGAACAUCCGGGAGUGCCAUGAAUUAUCAUGCAGCACAUUAUUAGGUUCCAUAGGUUAUUCCAAUAAUGAAUUGUUUGUUAAAUCCCAACAGAUUAUUUCUCUGACCUAGCAGUUUGUUGCCUCCCAUUACCAACCUAUGCUACCUUAACUUGGCUAGUGAUAUCUGAUUCUUGAAUUGAGAAGAAAGGGUGCAGAGGGGAUCAUGCAUUUGCUUGAGCUAUAUCAAUAUACCUCUAUGGGGAAACAUAAUUUCUGGACUUGCUAAAUUCCUUCAACCAAUGUAAGAUGAUUAACUUGCUAGGGAUUAGUUGCAGUCUGAAAAUCACUUCAAUUCUAUGUACACCUAACAUGAUGUUACUUGACAAUGCUUGUGAAGCACUAAACCCCGAGUAUCAUUUUCUUUUUUCUAGUUAGGACUAGAAACUUGAAAAUCUGCAUUUUGUCUGAUUUCCUUCAUGCUGAGUUGGAUAAUUGCUCAAUCUUGAAAAAAUUUUUAAAAAUGUGUUUGGUCUGUUUAUUCUUUAUGGUAUAAUGCAAUUGACUGGCUAACCAUGUAAUUGCAGAAAGUGCUUCAUUGCUUGAUGGGCUGAGACUACCCAUAAGAUGAUUGCCACAGGGAAUGAAUGAAACUCACUAGGACAUUCAGGAUCAUAUCAUGUGUUUUUCGUGCUGCUUGCUAAUGAACUUGACCAUUUUCUAUAGAAUAGUAGUUAGAAAAAGACCAAAACUUCUUUACCUUAAAACUCAGGGACUGAUAAUGUGUUAGCAAUUUGAGCCUAGGAGGAGAGCUUGUCGUCUAUGAGAAAGGGAGCUGAAUGUAGCAUCUUUCUGAUGUACAUGUUGAAAGGGAUCAUUGGGAUGAUCUUAGUUUGCUCACUUAGUGUAGUCUUGUUCUCCGCCUGUGAUAUUAUUCGCAUCGUAAAGUUAAAAUUGACCUUUAGGGGAUGCUGGCCAUCUGCCAGGAACUUUUACUUGACUAACAGGUUAUAGUAUAUUCCCAUAAAAUACAGUGGCAGAGCAAUUGAAGUUUUCUAAUAUACAAAUGCAUUGGAAAUUCAGAAUUCUAGCUAUGUUCUUACUCUAUAAAGGGAAAUGAGUGAUUGGAAAAAUGGUCUGAAUCAUUUCAAUUAGAGAUAACUUUAGUUUUGGAUUGUAUUAACAAAUAUUUUACAUAAAAAAAUAGUUGCUUUUGUAUUGACUUCAUGUAGUUUUUGGCUAUUUCCUUGCCUGAAUGAUCCCUGGUUUUUGUUCCUUACAGAAUCCG